AGAGUUGAUCAUGGCUCAGAGUGAACGCUGGCGGCAGGCCUAAUACAUGCAAGUCGAACGGCAGCACAGCAGAGCUUGCUCUGUGGGUGGCGAGUGGCGGACGGGUGAGGAAUACGUGGGAAUCUGCCCAGUCGUGGGGGAUAACGUAGGGAAACUUACGCUAAUACCGCAUGCGCCCUUCGGGGGAAAGCCGGGGACCUUCGGGCCUGGCGCGAUUGGAUGAGCCCACGUCGGAUUAGCUAGUUGGCGGGGUAAAGGCCCACCAAGGCGACGAUCCGUAGCUGGUCUGAGAGGAUGAUCAGCCACACUGGAACUGAGACACGGUCCAGACUCCUACGGGAGGCAGCAGUAGGGAAUAUUGGACAAUGGGCGCAAGCCUGAUCCAGCCAUGCCGCGUGAGUGAAGAAGGCCCUCGGGUUGUAAAGCUCUUUUGUCCGGAAAGAAAAGCGCCGGGUUAAUACCCCGGUGUCCUGACGGUACCGGAAGAAUAAGCACCGGCUAACUUCGUG
RNAcentral lists this ribosomal RNA (509 nucleotides) under uncultured bacterium. Its description in RNAcentral is "bacterial SSU rRNA". It matches the Rfam family "Bacterial small subunit ribosomal RNA", at positions 8 to 507 of the family's 1533-position model. The record is from RNAcentral.